GUAGGUUAUAUAUAUAUAUAUAUAUAUAUAUGUCGCCGUGAUUUUGCCAAGUAAGACAUGUUCCUGGAUCAACAUCUUUUGAUGAUCCUGGAUUAACAUUAUUGUCCAAAAAUAUAGACUUAACCCAAUCCCUACCCCUAAACCUAACCUUACCCAUAAUUUAUUCCUAAAAUCAGUGGGAAAUGAUAGCUGAUUAACAAGGGUGUAGAAGCACCUAACCCUGAUUUUAAGCCUAAAACAGAUAUUUCCUGAAAAGUUAUAUCUCAACUCUGAUUGGUUGAUUGGAAUGUUGUUCCAGGAUCAACAAGGAUGUUGUACUUGGUGAAAUCACGCUCACCAUAUAUAUAUAUAUAUUCUUACAAAAGAAGGUCUGUUAUAGGCUACUAAUAUAAUUUUGUGUGUGAUUUUGUUUGUUUGGUUUUAUGUGUGACUGGAAAUCUCAAGCACUCUCCCCAUAUUAUCAGACUUGAAUUGUGGAUCAGAAACCUACAAUCCCCAUGAACAAAUGUGUUGCUCAGGGAAUCUGUAUAAGAAGGCAUCAGCACUUACUAAGUGCUGUGGCGAAGAUGCUUACAUUCUGUCAGAUGACAAUGUGCUGUGCUGUAAUGGAAUCCUUCAUCGCAAUGUGCCUGAGCAGUCAGAGUGUGUUGGAGGUGUUAUGUAUACUCCAGCAAACACUACUUGCCAAAUGUCGACCCGUCCUCGUCUUGGCGAGCACUGCUGUGGAGGACAAACCUUCAAUCCUCGCACGCAUAUUUGCUGUAAUGGACACAGCCACAACAAGAUGAAUGGCAAUUUCUGUUGUGGUUCAGAAGUCUAUGACCACCACAACCAGUUCUUGAGAUGCUGCUCAGGUCAUCUCUACAACCUAACCCAUUUACGUGGAAAUGCAGAGUGCUGUGGAAGCCUAUUGCUGAAAUAUAGUAAUCACAUUUGCUGUUCCUCCUCAACCAAUUCCGUAAUGUAUGACACCAAAAGAAACCACCGUUGCUGUGGGCAUUACUACUACAACACAUCCCUGUGGAGCUGCUGUGCUGAACGUCUCAAACCAACACCAAAGCCUAACAGCUCUCCUGAAGAAUACAGACCUAAACCCCUAACAGGCCUUAUCCCUGAAAUGUGCAAUAAAACAGUGUUCUUUGGCAGAGUGGAGAGUGUGGCACUUGAAAAUGAUCUGCGUCAUGUGGUGUUGAAAGUUGUGUGGCAAGUCAAUAUGAAAUCUGAAAAUUUAAUCAAAGACCCUUGGCUUCAUGUGUCCCUGGAUCACUGCAGCUCUCCUGCCACAGAUAACGGCAUGACCUACCUUUGGGAGGAAAACCACAAUGGGAAGUACAAGCUUCUCUCUCACCCUGUUGACCUAACAUCUGACAUUUACAUGUUAUAUUCUGUAUGUUACCAAAAGAAGGGAUAGAAAUAUGGAUUGAGGUCUAUUUACCAUCAUUUCAAAGCAUGCAGGUUGUCAUAAGAUUCCUGAUCAUUUUUAUCCAUCAUUAAUGAUAAAUGACAAUAGAGGAAAGUCUCUGUUACUAUACACAGCAUUACGGCAU
Sinocyclocheilus grahami is the source of this 1547-nucleotide long non-coding RNA. The record is from Ensembl. NCBI's taxonomy places the organism in Eukaryota, Metazoa, Chordata, Actinopteri, Cypriniformes, Cyprinidae.